Molecule: ribosomal RNA, 340 nt
Filed under: uncultured bacterium
Lineage: Bacteria
Description: bacterial SSU rRNA
Rfam family: Bacterial small subunit ribosomal RNA
Source: RNAcentral
AAAACAGCCCUACGGGAGGCAGCAGUGGGGAAUAUUGCACAAUGGGCGGAAGCCUGAUGCAGCAACGCCGCGUGAGGGAUGACGGCCUUCGGGUUGUAAACCUCUUUUAGCAGGGAAGAAGCGAGAGUGACGGUACCUGCAGAAAAAGCGCCGGCUAACUACGUGCCAGCAGCCGCGGUAAUACGUAGGGCGCAAGCGUUAUCCGGAAUUAUUGGGCGUAAAGAGCUCGUAGGCGGUUUGUCGCGUCUGCUGUGAAAUCCCGAGGCUCAACCUCGGGCCUGCAGUGGGUACGGGCAGACUAGAGUGCGGUAGGGGAGAUUGGAAUUCCUGGUGUAGCGGU